RNAcentral lists this ribosomal RNA (497 nucleotides) under uncultured bacterium. Its description in RNAcentral is "partial 16S ribosomal RNA". It matches the Rfam family "Bacterial small subunit ribosomal RNA", at positions 28 to 507 of the family's 1533-position model. The record is from RNAcentral.
GAUGAACGCUGGCGGCGUGCCUAAUACAUGCAAGUCGAGCGAACAGAUGAGGAGCUUGCUCCUCUGACGUUAGCGGCGGACGGGUGAGUAACACGUGGAUAACCUACCUAUAAGACUGGGAUAACUUCGGGAAACCGGAGCUAAUACCGGAUAAUAUAUUGAACCGCAUGGUUCAAUAGUGAAAGACGGUUUUGCUGUCACUUAUAGAUGGAUCCGCGCCGCAUUAGCUAGUUGGUAAGGUAACGGCUUACCAAGGCAACGAUGCGUAGCCGACCUGAGAGGGUGAUCGGCCACACUGGAACUGAGACACGGUCCAGACUCCUACGGGAGGCAGCAGUAGGGAAUCUUCCGCAAUGGGCGAACGCAUGACGGAGCAACGCCGCGUGAGUGAUGAAGGUCUUCGGAUCGUAAAACUCUGUUAUUAGGGAAGAACAAAUGUGUAAGUAACUAUGCACGUCUUGACGGUACCUAAUCAGAAAGCCACGGCUAACUACGUG